UGAACUUGUGAUUCUCCUGCGUCAGGCUCCU
Molecule: non-coding RNA, 31 nt
Filed under: Mus musculus (house mouse)
Lineage: Eukaryota; Metazoa; Chordata; Mammalia; Rodentia; Muridae
Source: RNAcentral